RNAcentral lists this small nucleolar RNA (89 nucleotides) under Hordeum vulgare. RNAcentral describes it as "Small nucleolar RNA Z103". It matches the Rfam family "Small nucleolar RNA Z103". Rfam says of the family: This family consists of several snoRNA Z103 sequences which are members of the C/D class of snoRNA which contain the C (UGAUGA) and D (CUGA) box motifs. This family seems to be found exclusively in plants. The record is from RNAcentral. Lineage: Eukaryota; Viridiplantae; Streptophyta; Magnoliopsida; Poales; Poaceae. RNAcentral also lists the same sequence under 1 other name.
AUGGAAGUGAGUAUCCUUUCCCCAGCUUAUCGACUAUGAUUAUACUGUGCGCAAAUAUCUGAGUAUUCUAAGCGAGAAAUCUGAUCCAU